GGACGAACGCUGGCGGCGUGCUUAACACAUGCAAGUCGAGCGGUAAGGCCCUUUCGGGGUACGACGAGCGGCGAACGGGUGAGUAACACGUGGGUGACCUGCCCUCCAGCUCUGGGAGUAAGCCUGGGAAACCGGGGUACUAAUACCGGAUAUGACUCCAUGACGCACGUUGUGGGGUGGAAAGCCUUGUGCGGCUGAGGAUGGGCCCGCGGCCUAUCAGCUUGUUGGUGGGGUGAUGGCCUACCAAGGCGACGACGGGUAGCCGGCCUGAGAGGGCGACCGGCCACACUGGGACUGAGACACGGCCCAGACUCCUACGGGAGGCAGCAGUGGGGAAUCUUGCGCAAUGGGCGAAAGCCUGACGCAGCGACGCCGCGUGAGGGAUGACGGCCU
Molecule: ribosomal RNA, 393 nt
Filed under: uncultured bacterium
Lineage: Bacteria
Description: bacterial SSU rRNA
Rfam family: Bacterial small subunit ribosomal RNA
Source: RNAcentral